GACGAACCGUGCGAACGUUAUUCGGAAUCACUGGGCUUAAAGCGCGUGUAGGCGGGACGGCACGUCCGUCGCUGAAAUCCCCCGGCUCAACCGGGGAACUGGCGGGGAUACGACCGUCCUGGAGGGACGUAGGGGGACCUGGAACUUCCGGUGGAGCGGUGAAAUGUGUUGAGAUCGGAAGGAACGCCCGUGGCGAAAGCGAGGUCCUGGACGUUUUCUGACGCUGAGACGCGAAAGCCAGGGGAGCGAACGGG
Molecule: ribosomal RNA, 254 nt
Filed under: uncultured bacterium
Lineage: Bacteria
Description: partial 16S ribosomal RNA
Rfam family: Bacterial small subunit ribosomal RNA
Source: RNAcentral